UUUGGAUAUAUUGAUGCUAGAUUGGUGCGAACAAUGGUCUUAGCAAAUAAGGAAAAAAAACACCAGAGAAGCUGGCUAAAACCAAUGAUUGUGCGGGCUAUCCUAAUUAAGAUUGCAUUCAGCAUGAGAAACUAUGUACAUUUGGCAUCCUAAGAUUUCAUUUCAAACUCAUUGGUCACAACGAUAUCAUUUUGCUGCAUCGCUCUCUAUCCUAGCCUGCC
Molecule: long non-coding RNA, 221 nt
Filed under: Elaeis guineensis (African oil palm)
Lineage: Eukaryota; Viridiplantae; Streptophyta; Magnoliopsida; Arecales; Arecaceae
Description: long non-coding RNA (EGUI_LNC021455)
Source: RNAcentral